GAAGGGAGGUAUCCCUUCGGGGGGGGCACAGUAGGGAAUCUUCCACAAUGGGCGCAAGCCUGAUGGAGCAACACCGCGUGAGUGAAGAAGGGUUUCGGCUCGUAAAGCUCUGUUGUUAAAGAAGAACACGUAUGAGAGUAACUGUUCAUACGUUGACGGUAUUUAACCAGAAAGUCACGGCUAACUACGUGCCAGCAGCCGCGGUAAUACGUAGGUGGCAAGCGUUAUCCGGAUUUAUUGGGCGUAAAGAGAGUGCAGGCGGUUUUCUAAGUCUGAUGUGAAAGCCUUCGGCUUAACCGGAGAAGUGCAUCGGAAACUGGAUAACUUGAGUGCAGAAGAGGGUAGUGGAACUCCAUGUGUAGCGGUGGAAUGCGUAGAUAUAUGGAAGAACACCAGUGGCGAAGGCGGCUACCUGGUCUGCAACUGACGCUGAGACUCGAAAGCAUGGGUAGCGAACAGGAUUAGAUACCCUGGUAGUCCAUGCCGUAAACGAUGAGUGCUAGGUGUUGGAGGGUUUCCGCCCUUCAGUGCCGGAGCUAACGCAUUAAGCAUGGGGCCCCGCUUCUUUUUCGGAGAGACUACUG
Molecule: ribosomal RNA, 584 nt
Filed under: Limosilactobacillus fermentum
Lineage: Bacteria; Bacillati; Bacillota; Bacilli; Lactobacillales; Lactobacillaceae
Description: bacterial SSU rRNA
Rfam family: Bacterial small subunit ribosomal RNA
Source: RNAcentral